CCGGUGUCUUGUACAAAGGCCUGCGCUCUCUGUGCGGAGGUCUUCUGGCAAAGGCACCCAGAUGC
RNAcentral lists this small RNA (65 nucleotides) under Euglena gracilis. RNAcentral's name for it is "Eg-p-Orphan9 AGAUGN box-like small RNA". The record is from RNAcentral. Lineage: Eukaryota; Euglenozoa; Euglenophyceae; Euglenales; Euglenaceae.